Long non-coding RNA from Raphanus sativus (radish), 943 nucleotides. RefSeq lists it as uncharacterized. The record is from RefSeq and is a predicted model, not a curated record. NCBI's taxonomy places the organism in Eukaryota, Viridiplantae, Streptophyta, Magnoliopsida, Brassicales, Brassicaceae. The transcript is spliced from 4 exons.
CCACCUACGGUCCAUCACACCUUACAAAGACGUCGUCUUCCUCACUCUCUUAUUUUGCAGCGCCGAUGUGGCGUGUCGUGUGGGAACGUUUCCGUAACACUUCUAAUCGUCAUUGAAAAAUGACAUUUAGAGUCCCUAAUAACUUCCUCCAGCCAUCUCUCCACCUCUACAACUUCCCACCAUAGGUUUUCAAAUCCCUAAUUUUAACGAGCUACUUCUCAGAGACUCCUUCACCUCCAUAUAAAAUUUUGAUAUGAGUAACAGACCACCAUAUUGCCGUUCCAUCAAAACAAAUUCAUUCGCAAAAAUGUCUCAAAAACAUAUGUUGUUUCCAGGGUGGCUGAGGCCAGGUUGAUUUUCAAGCUGUAUCAUUUUUAGGAAGCUUGGAAUCCAGCAGAAGAUGGGAUGCUAAUUACUCUUGAGCUUCUCCUGAUCGACGAGAAGGAUUUAUUGCACCUAAUCGUGUACGUCAUUGUGAAGCUUUUCUCAAGCUGAGCUCCACCUCUAUAGCCUCACCAACUUCUUCGCGACGAAGAACAAAGGAAAUGGGCUUAGAUGUUAACAUGACUAGGAAUGUUGGUCUUCAAGGUUCCCUUGAUUCUAUUGGUGAAACAAGUUGAAGGAAUGGUUCAGAAGGGAACACACGGCGACAUAUUUCUAGAAAAACUGAUUCUAACUGAUGGUUAAGAGCCUUACGCAUAAGAAACCGAACGUUUUUGAUCAGAAGCUAAUAAAUUUUUCACUUUUCACAUGGCACUAAUCUGAAAGAGCCUACACAAGUACAGAGGUAAUGGUUCGCUAUAUUUUACAUUCUUUUUGUUCCCCAUAUGAUUCUAGAUAACCUAGCAAGAUGAAAGUGCUCUUAGGUAUCUUUUUACAAACUUUACUUAUGCGGUAAAGAAGAUAGGCUUAUUUAUGAAGAAGAGUCAGGUCUUUGUGUUUA